CUGCACAUAAGUGCGCGUGGGUUCG
Molecule: non-coding RNA, 25 nt
Filed under: Arabidopsis thaliana (thale cress)
Lineage: Eukaryota; Viridiplantae; Streptophyta; Magnoliopsida; Brassicales; Brassicaceae
Source: RNAcentral